Molecule: ribosomal RNA, 252 nt
Filed under: uncultured bacterium
Lineage: Bacteria
Description: partial 16S ribosomal RNA
Rfam family: Bacterial small subunit ribosomal RNA
Source: RNAcentral
UACAGAGGUCCCAAGCGUUGUUCGGAUUCACUGGGCGUAAAGGGUGCGUAGGCGGUCGGGUAAGUCUGGCGUGAAAUCUCCAAGCCUAACUUGGAAACUGCGUUGGAUACUAUCCGGCUCGAGGAAUGGAGGGGAGACUGGAAUACUUGUGUAGCAGUGAAAUGCGUAGAUAUCAAGUGGAACACCAGUGGCGAAGGCGAGUCUCUGGACAUUUCCUGACGCUGAGGCACGAAAGCCAGGGGAGCAAACGGG